GCACGAGUGCACCCCCGUCCUGUGUUACAUUGUUCACAGGAGACUGCUCGGGCUUUUCCCGGGAGGAAGGAGGGGCGGACGUCAAGUCAGCAUGGCCCUUAUGUCUUGGGCUACACACACCCUACAAUGGCGAAAAACAACGGGUAUCGCGACACCGCAAGGUGCAGCUAAUCCCUGAAAUUUCGUCUCAGUUCGGAUUGGAGUCUGCAACUUGACUCCAUGAAGUCGGAAUUGGUAGUAAUCGCGGACCAGCCAGGCCGCGGUGAAUACUGCUUCUCGGGUCUUGUACACACCGCCCGU
Molecule: ribosomal RNA, 300 nt
Filed under: uncultured bacterium
Lineage: Bacteria
Description: bacterial SSU rRNA
Rfam family: Bacterial small subunit ribosomal RNA
Source: RNAcentral